CGGCAACAGCUCAAAUUUGAAACCUGGCGCAAGCCCGGAUUGUAAUUUGUAGAGGAUGCUUCGGGGCAGCGGCCGGUCUAAGUUCCUUGGAACAGGACGUCACAGAGGGUGAGAAUCCCGUACGUGCCCGGUGGCCGCCCCCGUGUGAAGCUCCUUCGAC
Molecule: ribosomal RNA, 160 nt
Filed under: Sporidesmium sp.
Lineage: Eukaryota; Fungi; Ascomycota; Sordariomycetes; Sporidesmiaceae
Description: partial large subunit ribosomal RNA
Rfam family: Eukaryotic large subunit ribosomal RNA
Source: RNAcentral